RNAcentral lists this ribosomal RNA (510 nucleotides) under uncultured bacterium. RNAcentral describes it as "bacterial SSU rRNA". It matches the Rfam family "Bacterial small subunit ribosomal RNA", at positions 15 to 518 of the family's 1533-position model. The record is from RNAcentral.
GAUCUUGGUCAGGAUGAACGCUAGCGACAGGCUUAACACAUGCAAGUCGAGGGGCAGCAUAAAAGUAGCAAUACUUGGUGGCGACCGGCGCACGGGUGAGUAACGCGUAUGCAACCUACCUAUCAGAGGGGAAUAACCCGGCGAAAGUCGGACUAAUACCGCAUAAAACAGGGGCACCGCAUGGUGAUAUUUGUUAAAGAAAUUCGCUGAUAGAUGGGCAUGCGUUCCAUUAGGUAGUUGGUGAGGUAACGGCUCACCAAGCCGACGAUGGAUAGGGGAACUGAGAGGUUGGUCCCCCACACUGGUACUGAGACACGGACCAGACUCCUACGGGAGGCAGCAGUGAGGAAUAUUGGUCAAUGGGCGAGAGCCUGAACCAGCCAAGUCGCGUGAAAGGAAGAAGGAUCUAUGGUUCGUAAACUUCUUUUGCAGGGGAAUAAAGUGCAGGACGUGUCCUGUUUUGUAUGUACCCUGAGAAUAAGGAUCGGCUAACUCCGUGCCAGCCGCAGC